RNAcentral lists this ribosomal RNA (411 nucleotides) under uncultured bacterium. RNAcentral describes it as "bacterial SSU rRNA". It matches the Rfam family "Bacterial small subunit ribosomal RNA", at positions 362 to 771 of the family's 1533-position model. The record is from RNAcentral.
UAUUGGUCAAUGGUCGGGAGACUGAACCAGCCAAGCCGCGUGAGGGAGGAAGGUACAGAGUAUCGUAAACCUCUUUUGUCAGGGAACAAAGGCGGGGACGUGAUCCCGGAUGAGUGUACCUGAAGAAAAAGAAUCGGCUAACUCCGUGCCAGCAGCCGCGGUAAUACGGAGGUUGAGAGCGUUAUCCGGAUUUAUUGGGUUUAAAGGGUGCGCAGGCGUUCUGUUCAGUCAGCGGUCAAAGCCCGGGGCUCAACCCCGGCCCGCCGUUGAAACUGGCAGUCUCGAGUUGGAGAGAAGUAUGCGGAAUGCGCGGUGUAGCGGUGAAAUGCAUAGAUAUCGCGCAGAACUCCGAUUGCGAAGGCAGCAUGCCGGCUCCACACUGACGCUGAGGCACGAAAGCGUGGGUAUCGA